GCUCCAGUAGCUCAGUGGAUAGAGCAUCUGCCUUCUAAGCAGACGGCCGUAGGUUCGAGUCCUACCUGGGGCG
Molecule: transfer RNA, 73 nt
Filed under: Trichocoleus desertorum ATA4-8-CV12
Lineage: Bacteria; Bacillati; Cyanobacteriota; Cyanophyceae; Leptolyngbyales; Trichocoleusaceae
Also listed under: 2 other names
Description: tRNA-Arg
Rfam family: tRNA
About the family: Transfer RNA (tRNA) molecules are approximately 80 nucleotides in length. Their secondary structure includes four short double-helical elements and three loops (D, anti-codon, and T loops). Further hydrogen bonds mediate the characteristic L-shaped molecular structure. tRNAs have two regions of fundamental functional importance: the anti-codon, which is responsible for specific mRNA codon recognition, and the 3' end, to which the tRNAs corresponding amino acid is attached (by aminoacyl-tRNA synthetases). tRNAs cope with the degeneracy of the genetic code in two manners: having more than one tRNA (with a specific anti-codon) for a particular amino acid; and 'wobble' base-pairing, i.e. permitting non-standard base-pairing at the 3rd anti-codon position.
Source: RNAcentral